GGGCUGGUAGCUUAUAAGGUAAAGCAUGUAGCUCAUAACUAUGGGGAGGUCGGUUCGGACCCGGCCCGGCCCA
Non-coding RNA from Amphimedon queenslandica, 73 nucleotides. The record is from the annotation of a RefSeq genome assembly. Lineage: Eukaryota; Metazoa; Porifera; Demospongiae; Haplosclerida; Niphatidae.